This 428-nucleotide ribosomal RNA is filed under the name uncultured bacterium. RNAcentral describes it as "bacterial SSU rRNA". It matches the Rfam family "Bacterial small subunit ribosomal RNA", at positions 80 to 507 of the family's 1533-position model. The record is from RNAcentral.
CUUUUCUGAUGACGACCGGCGCACGGGUGCGUAACGCGUAUACAACCUACCUUUUAGCGGGGAAUAGCCCAGGGAAACUUGGAUUAAUGCCCCAUAGUAUAUAGACUUCUCCUGAAGUUUAUAUUAAACAUUUAUGGCUAUUAGAUGGGUAUGCGUCCUAUUAGUUAGUUGGUAAGGUAACGGCUUACCAAGGCAGCAAUAGGUAGGGGUCCUGAGAGGGAGAUCCCCACACUGGUACUGAGACACGGACCAGACUCCUACGGGAGGCAGCAGUGAGGAAUAUUGGACAAUGGGCGAGAGCCUGAUCCAGCCAUGCCGCGUGCAGGAAGACUGCCCUAUGGGUUGUAAACUGCUUUUACAGAGGAAGAACCACCCCCACGUGUGGGGGUUUGACGGUACUCUGCGAAUAAGGAUCGGCUAACUCCGUG